AUGGAAGACCAGGACUGCUAAAAUCACAAAUAACUGGAAAUAUAUGAGGUUUAAUUAAAUAAUUUAUACGCUACAAAGAAAGAAAGGAAAUGGCGUUUUAAUUAUAUUUUAUCAUUUUAUCAAGUGAAACCCUUUGAAAAUGGCUAAAAGUGUUGUUUAGGGACUGAUGAACAAGAAGUUGAGCUGGUCUGCUGACAACAAUGUGAUUUGACAAAUGUAAUUGCUUUAGGAUAGAUUACUUUAUAAAGGGUGGAUAAAUGCACCACAAAGUUAUCAUCUUUCCAUGUGGAUGGAAAUAAAGGGAUUUCUAAAAACACGAUAAACUGAUAAUCAGAGGCAUGGCUUACAGCUCUGCUGCAUAUAUGUGAGCAUAGAAUGUGUGUCGGGCAUUUCCCCUACAUCCAAUCCCGCCCAAACAUUUUGUCCAAAUGCAUUCAAUGUUUCAAACAUAUACACCACUGUUAGUCUCUAUCUUUAACAAGUCAUUAUAAAUUUGUGGUAAACAAUGAUUUUCUCAGAUCCUAAAGAUGAUCAUAAAGUUGUGCUGCACUGUUUGAACCUACAGACUUGUUCUGCAGUGGUGUCUUACCCUUACAACUUAUGGUUGUUAUGGGUCUGUGGCUUUACCUCCUUGAGGUGGUUGAAUUAAUGAAGUGCAAAGAAUGCAUACAGAUCGGGGAUUGAUGAUCUGAAAAAGGAUUUCAGGUCUGGUCCAGCUCUUCCUGCUGUGCACCAGCUUAAAAGGCAUUCAAAGUAUAUCCCAGUACCCUGUCAUGCUGAUGUUAAACUAGAAUUUUAACAUUUGUUUCAUUCUAUGCUUUUCAAAGCUUAAAGGUAUCUGUUAUUUUAAUGUCUUUACUUUGAUUUCCUGUAAAGCACUUUGUACCUUGUGUAUUAAUGGUCCUGUAUAAAUGAACUUGCCUUUUCUCAAUUGACAACAGGCAAGAAGCUGAACUAGUGAGCAACUUAUGCCUUUUACCCUCUUAGAGUAGAACACCAGUGGUGUAAAUAUGAAAAGAAAAUGUCAACAAAACAUGUAAAUAAAUGGGGAUGUUGAAAUAAGUGGGUGUAAAAGCCUACAGAAUAAAUAUUGAAAUGAAAAUAUAGAAGGUGCAAGAAAAAUAAUAUAAAUUUGUUGAAAAACUAACAGAAGAAAGUUUGAGCUAAAACACAAAUUAAAUAAGCAGUGAUAUUAAAUCUUAGUUAAAUUCUGCUCAUUCACCAUUAUUUAACUGAGCCUGAAAUUUCUUUAUUUAUUUCUGAUUUUGGUAGUCCUUCACACAUUAUAAAGAGGGACACUGAGGGCACAGAGAGCUGUUACUAUAUGUGUAAAGAGAUAGUCUUGACAAAUGUUAUGUAUCUCUGUCUUUACAUAAUGCCAAACUUGGCCUUGUUAAAUAAAAUCCAAUAUAUAACAAAGACUUGUAAUUUAAAACAAAAUACACUGUAUUUCCCAUUUUCUGCAGGCCAAAGAGUUAUCUGCUAAAAUGAUUAAAUACACAAGAACUGAUUCAAACCAGGGAGGAGAUAAAGGUAUAAAGAGGUGGUAUUGGCCACUUGUUAAGUGUGUGACUGUCAAAGUGCCACAUAACAGUUUUCUCCAGCACGUCACUCUUGUGGACCUUCCUGGAAAUGGAGACCGUAAUAAGAGCAGAGAUACAAUGUGGAAAGGGGUUGUUGGAAACUGUUCUACCGUGUGGAUUGUGACUGAAAUCAACCGAGCAGCAGCAGACAGAGAAUCCUGGGAGAUCCUGAAAAGUGUCAGUAGUCUCCUUGGAAACGCUGGCGAGUGCAGACAUAUUCACUUCAUCUGCACAAAGUCUGAUGUUAUUGAAGAUUCACUUGAUCACUCAGCUGAUGUUCAGGCCUUAACCCUCUGAAGAAACACAGAUGCAAAGGCAGCAGUGGGCAAGGAAAUCAACAAGCUACACAAGAUUAAGAAACACUUCAGUGAUGAAUGUUUCCAAGUGUUCACAGUGAGCUCCAAGGAGUUUCUGAAACGAAAAGUUCACAGUCCAGAGAAUACUG
Molecule: long non-coding RNA, 2028 nt
Organism: Girardinichthys multiradiatus
Lineage: Eukaryota; Metazoa; Chordata; Actinopteri; Cyprinodontiformes; Goodeidae
Exons: 4
Source: RefSeq, a predicted model, not a curated record